GACGAACGCUGGCGGCGUGCUUAACACAUGCAAGUCGAACGGAAAGGCCCUGCUUUUGUGGGGUGCUCGAGUGGCGAACGGGUGAGUAACACGUGAGUAACCUGCCCUUGACUUUGGGAUAACUUCAGGAAACUGGGGCUAAUACCGGAUAGGAGCUCCUGCUGCAUGGUGGGGGUUGGAAAGUUUCGGCGGUUGGGGAUGGACUCGCGGCUUAUCAGCUUGUUGGUGGGGUAGUGGCUUACCAAGGCUUUGACGGGUAGCCGGCCUGAGAGGGUGACCGGCCACAUUGGGACUGAGAUACGGCCCAGACUCCUACGGGAGGCAGCAGUGGGGAAUAUUGCGCAAUGGGCGGAAGCCUGAUGCAGCAACGCCGCGUGCGGGAUGACGGCCUUCGGGUUGUAAACCGCUUUCGCCUGUGACGAAGCGUGAGUGACGGUAAUGGGUAAAGAAGCACCGGCUAACUACGUGCCAGCAGCCGCGGUGAUACGUAGGGUGCGAGCGUUGUCCGGAUUUAUUGGGCGUAAAGGGCUCGUAGGUGGUUGAUCGCGUCGGAAGUGUAAUCUUGGGGCUUAACCCUGAGCGUGCUUUCGAUACGGGUUGACUUGAGGAAGGUAGGGGAGAAUGGGAUUCCUGGUGGAGCGGUGGAAUGCGCAGAUAUCAGGAGGAACACCAGUGGCGAAGGCGGUUCUCUGGGCCUUUCCUGACGCUGAGGAGCGAAAGCGUGGGGAGCGAACAGGCUUAGAUACCCUGGUAGUCCACGCUGUAAACGGUGGGUACUAGGUGUGGGGUCCAUUCCACGGGUUCCGUGCCGUAGCUAACGCUUUAAGUACCCCGCCUGGGGAGUACGGCCGCAAGGCUAAAACUCAAAGGAAUUGACGGGGCCCCGCACAAGCGGCGGAGCAUGCGGAUUAAUUCGAUGCAACGCGUAGAACCUUACCUGGGUUUGACAUGGAUCGGGAGUGCUCAGAGAUGGGUGUGCCUCUUUUGGGGUCGGUUCACAGGUGGUGCAUGGCUGUCGUCAGCUCGUGUCGUGAGAUGUUGGGUUAAGUCCCGCAACGAGCGCAACCCUUGUUCACUGUUGCCAGCACGUUAUGGUGGGGACUCAGUGGAGACCGCCGGGGUCAACUCGGAGGAAGGUGGGGAUGACGUCAAGUCAUCAUGCCCCUUAUGUCCAGGGCUUCACGCAUGCUACAAUGGCUGGUACAGAGAGUGGCGAGCCUGUGAGGGUGAGCGAAUCUCGGAAAGCCGGUCUCAGUUCGGAUUGGGGUCUGCAACUCGACCUCAUGAAGUCGGAGUCGCUAGUAAUCGCAGAUCAGCAACGCUGCGGUGAAUACGUUCCCGGG
RNAcentral lists this ribosomal RNA (1343 nucleotides) under uncultured bacterium. RNAcentral describes it as "16S ribosomal RNA". It matches the Rfam family "Bacterial small subunit ribosomal RNA", at positions 28 to 1378 of the family's 1533-position model. The record is from RNAcentral.